ACAUAAGACAUACCGUAUUCAGAUUUUACCGGGCUUUAUCGUACCGAACUCGUGUCCGAUAUCCUGUUAAACCGGUAUAACCGGUCAGUUCAUACCGGUAUUUAAAACAUUGCUUAAGAGAGUUUUUCCUCUAUAAUUGCCAUAUAUAUAUGUAUAUAUACCUCUUUUACAGUUUUUACAUGUAACAACUUUUGUCAAGAGAGAGAAAGUUAAUAUGUUACAUCUCUUUUGUCAUUUACAUAGAGUUAACAUCACAUCAUGUUACAUUUUUUUUUCAAUAACACUUUUUGCCGGUUUACGUGCUUUUUAAGAAAAAAAAAAAAAAAAUUAGUGUAACAGACAAUUCUCAUACAUGACAGUGAUCAAAUAAAAAAAUUGAAAAAACAAAAAGUUGUUAUAUGUACUUUUGUCACUAUGUGACAUGUUGAAAAGUUACUUUAUGUAAUAUGCAAUCUAAAUCAUAGGAAUUCUAGAUGGAUAGUAGAGAUUGAGUUUCUUGAGUU
Molecule: long non-coding RNA, 503 nt
Filed under: Helianthus annuus (common sunflower)
Lineage: Eukaryota; Viridiplantae; Streptophyta; Magnoliopsida; Asterales; Asteraceae
Description: hypothetical non coding rna
Source: RNAcentral